GAUGAACGCUGGCGGCGCGCCUAACACAUGCAAGUCGAACGGUUAAAGCACCUUCGGGUGUGUAUAAAGUGGCGAACGGCUGAGUAACACGUGGGCAACCUGCCCCUCGCACCGGGAUAGCCUCGGGACACCGUGGUUAAUACCGGAUACGAAGCUCCUGCCGCAUGACGGGAGCUUGAAAGGCGCAAACAAGCGCCGCUGAGGGAUGGGCCUGCGUCCGAUUAGCUUGUUGGUGGGGUAACGGCCCACCAAGGCGACGAUCGGUAGCCGGUCUGAGAGGAUGAACGGCCACAUUGGGACUGAGACACGGCCCAGACUCCUACGGGAGGCAGCAGUGGGGAAUAUUGGGCAAUGGGCGCAAGCCUGACCCAGCGACGCCGCGUGAGGGAAGACAGCCUUCGGGUUGUAAACCUCUGUUGCAGGGGAAGAAGGAAGUGACGGUACCCUGCGAGGAAGCUCCGGCUAACUACGUG
RNAcentral lists this ribosomal RNA (473 nucleotides) under uncultured bacterium. RNAcentral's name for it is "bacterial SSU rRNA". It matches the Rfam family "Bacterial small subunit ribosomal RNA", at positions 28 to 507 of the family's 1533-position model. The record is from RNAcentral.